CUCAUGCCCCUUCUCUUUCUUGGCAUCCACUCUUGGAGCCAAAAAAAAGGGGGUGGGCGGCACAUAGGGGUGGUGCCAAUUAGUUGGCGCACACCACUUAUUUAGUUCUUGUUCCCUUUACUCUCAGGUUUAUUGAGAGUUAGUUACAACCAUUUCUUGGUUGUUGUUUUUCUUGAUUAGUUGAAGGAUCAAGAAAGGAUUCUUGAUUUCUUCAAGAAUCAAGAAAGAAAGAUCAAAAGGAUUCAAAAUUAAAAGCCUCUCC
Molecule: long non-coding RNA, 262 nt
Filed under: Elaeis guineensis (African oil palm)
Lineage: Eukaryota; Viridiplantae; Streptophyta; Magnoliopsida; Arecales; Arecaceae
Description: long non-coding RNA (EGUI_LNC047771)
Source: RNAcentral